GGCCAAUGUGGGUUGUGGAGUGAAGCAGGAAGCUCUGCAGAGUUCCUUGGUCAAAAGGAUGAAUUACAAAAGAACCCCACGAACACCAAGAAGAAGAGAAGGGAAUCCUGGGUAUUUAAAGCCACAAAGAAACUUGAUAUGGUCUUGUCUCCUUCUCUCAACUGACAGUGAGAAACUGAAGACCAGAGAGGACUAGGAAGAUACAUCCAAAAAGGAAGUGAUUGCGCCACUGCACCCCAGCCUGGGUGAGAAAUUCACUGGCAGUGUCAGUCGCUGUCUCCCUGCACUUCAUCCGUCUGAUAUCCCAGUACCUAGUGCUGUACUAGGCACACACUGUACUUCAAAAGGAAGCAUUAGUCUGCAUUAAUUAUCACCAGUGCAUUCGUCUGUGUAUUGUCUGUUCAUUCAACAAAUAUUUAGUAAGAACCAGGCAUUGAACUCGUGGUUAACGAGGAGCUUCCAUUCUGGUUGGAAGAGGCAGAAGGUAAGCAACAUGAAUGGGCAAGUCCACGGAAAGAUGGUUUCAAAUAGAGCUAAGUGCAAUGAAGACGGUAAACCAGGUAAGGAGAUAGAGAAUGAUGGCAGGAGGGACACACCUGACCUGGUGCCAUUUGAGCCAAGGCUUGCAUCGUAAAGAGUCAGACAGGAAACAAUCCAGAAGAAGAGUGUUCUAGACAGAAAGCAUAGCGCAUGCAAAGGCCCUGAGGUCACAGCAAUGUGAUGUCUUCCAGGAUCUGGGAGGAAGCCAGUAUAGCUGGGACUGGGGGAGUAGAAAUCUGAGAAAGCAGAGAGGAUGGAAAGCGAGGGUGGAAAGAGUAGGCAGGGGCUGUGGUGAUCUUGCCAGCCUAGUGAGCCUGGAAAAGCAUGCAUUCUAUUCUAAAUGGGAUGGUUAAGCAUUGAAGGUUUUUAAUGAGAAUGACAUGCUCUGUUGGUGGUUUAGACCAUGUCUGCAAACUCUCUGAUGCUUCUUCUCUGGAAGAUGAGGUCUAGGACUCCUCCCCUGGAGUUGGGCAGGCCUAUGAGAUCGUUUGGAUGGCUUGACUCUGUGACUGUCCAGGUUAGGUGAGUAGAGAAGCUUCUGCCUGGGCCCUGUCUCAGGAUGCACGCUUUAGGAGCUGCGUUGUAAGGAGUCCUUGUAAGGAGUCCAGCUACCCUGGACUCCUUGUAGAGAGGCCACAGAAAGUCAUUCAGAGGCUCAACUGGGCUGAAGGUGCAAGGUUUCUUGCUCAUGUGGCCAUCAGUGGUGCUUGCUGCUAUUGGGAGCUCCACUGGACUGUUGACCAGAGCUCCUCAGCUCACCUCUGUGUAUCCUUGCCAUGUGGCUAAGGCUUCUAACAACACAGAGGCUGGAUUCCAAGAGGAGGGAAGUAGAAGCUUUCAGCCUUCUUAAGACCAGGAUUCAGAUGUCCCAGACUGUCAUUGUAUUGACCGGAGCAUUUACAGGCCAGCCCAGUAAUUUUUCCAUCUCUGGGCAAGAACAGGUAGCAUAUGCCGAGGGUAGGGGUAGCAUUGUUGGGGACCAUCUUUGGAGCAGUGUGCCAAGGAGUAAAUUGCUGGGCUGCUUUCUACCUGGGGAAGUUCACUGUGCUUGCUUGUGGAGAGUGGAUUGUGUGCUCAGAGUCCACCAGGAUUUAAGAAUCAGCUCCCAGCCCUCCUCCCCUUGCCUCAGCCCGUGCAUUAGGGCCCUGUGGUGAGAGCACUGAGCCAUUGUGAAUCAAGGCCUCUCCCUCAACCUGCAUACUGACAGGCGAGAGGAGCUUUCUUGAUUUUGGUCCUAGGCUUCUGCCUGUGGGUUGGAUUCCAGGGGCACUCCGUCCUCCACAAACCAGUGACAGGUGCAGCCCCUCCAUGCAAGCUGUCCACACUUCACCCUAAAGACAGAUCCUGCUGUUCAGCAGCAAUGUGAGUGGCCCACACAUUUGCCCAGCAUGAAACCGUUUUCAAAUUCCUUUCCAAUACACAGUCCCAUCAGCCAGUCACAUCACGAUGACAGCUCCUCGAAACACCUUUUGGUUUGCAGUUGCGUAGCUUAGAAGUAGGAGCCUGCACAACUUCAGGACUUCACAGAAAGAACACACUUUGUGCUUCGAGAAGUUAAUUAUGGGAAUAUCUUGCAACCUGCUGCUCUGAGCCUGUGCACCUGGGGUGUUUCCCCGGAGGUCCUGUGUAUGCGGAUACUCAUCAGCAUGGGGUUUGGGGAAGCCUAGCACUGGAGGCAACCUAGGUGGUGCUCUCCAGGGGAGUGGGUAAGAGCCCUGCAGUGUAUGCAUAUGAGGGGAUCCUAGGCAGCAGUGAAAAGCAUUGAAGGGAAAGCAUGUUGAGCAGUGCUCUGAAUCUGAUCAGAGCAACCUGAACACAUUUUAAACACAGGGCAUCUAGAACUAGGGUAGAGGCACUAGAGCACCAUAGACACAAACUCACAUUCUGAAGGUAAAUGUCCAAGUUCCAAUCCAAGCCCCCUCGCCAACUGACCACGACUCCCCCAAGUUACCUGACCUCUGUGUUUACAUCCUUAAAGUUAAGUAGUCAGGAAAGGGGGCUUGGGGCUUGCUACAUGAAUGGUUGCCACUCUCCUUUGCAAAGUGUAGUCCCCAAAAACAGGUGGAAGAGGGAAGGGUCCAAUCAGAAGGCCGAGUACCAGCUGCCGUGAAUAUGCCAGAGCUGCUGGCUAGUGAUAUAUAACUCAAAUCCGGUGGAACAGCAGAGCUAGGGUGACCUUACAUUCUAGGAAAGAAAAGAUGCUUGUUGUCCUGGCUUUUUAUCCAGCUUAAACAAAGAUGGGCAAAGAAAAUAAUUUAGAAAAUAGUAGAGAUGAGCACAGAGAAAGGGCACAGAUGGAAGCACAAACAGAAGGCCAAGUGAUGGUGGAGGCAGACACUGGAGAAAUGCCUUUGCAAGCCAGGGAAUGCCAAGGAUGCUGGUGACCCCGGGAGCGGGAUGAACCUGGAACACGCUCUCCCUCAGAGUCUCCAGAAGGAACCGGCCCUGCAUCACCUUUGGGACUUCUGGCCCCCAGAACUACACAAGAAAACGUUUCUGCUAUUGGAGGCCAUCCAGCUGGUGGUCAUUUGUUAUGGUCACCACAGAAAAAAAUAUAGAUUUAGGCAUCUAAUUUGCAUAUAUAGAUGUGCAUGUGUAUUUGUUAAAUAAAACACAAGGCAUAAUAACUCAAUGGACAACAAUACAACUCAUUAAAUUGUGUUGGUUAAAAAAAUGAUAGAUAUCACUCACACAUUUUUAUGUGCUGGUAAAGAGAAAAAUCCAAGACUACAUAGGGUUCCUCUUAUUUUAAUUAUUUUAUUCUUUUAAACAACAAACAAUGUGGCUAAAGCAAACAGAAAUUAUUUUUUCAUGAAACAAACAGGGUUCAAUGCACUGAAAUGAUGAAAAUGAUCAACCAUUCCCACCAGCAUGGAAACAGGGCUGGGGUUGCAGACAGUGAUGUGUGUGGUGUGCCUCUGUGGGGUUUGGGGUUUUGCUUAUUUUGAGGGAUGGGAGUAGAAGCCUUUCCGAGAAAUGCACACCCAGGAGCGAGUUCCUGGGCCACAGAGCUGGCUCCCUGCUGACUGACUGGUUCAUGGUGCAAUCCGGGUUUGGGGGCAGCUUUGCUGUAGGCAGGAGCCUCAACCCUUCAGAACAGGAUUCCACUCCUGAGACCUCAUCUGUCCCUGAGUCUCAGGACACACCAGCCGGAAACUGCAACCCUUCUGUGUCAAGCAAACAGCACUCAUGCUUUUGCAAUUCCCCAGUGCUCCCAGCACACCUGCAGCGUUUGGGGACACUGUUCUCCGUUUUCUCUGUGUGCUCAUCUACUUGGAUGCCAGACUAUUAUCAUCAUCCUCAUUCUACAGGGGAAACUGAGGCACAGAGAGGUUAAAGUCACUUUCCCAUUAUAGGGACAACAGGACUAGAAACCCAGAGCUCCACCAUCCAACUGAAGGAGGAAGGGGGCUUAGCUGCGUGGAAAGGGGGCGCCCUAUGGAACACACCCUUGGCUUCACCUUCACCUGUACUUGGUCGCCUCCGUUUCCCCUUUCUAUCUUCCUGGGCCUCAGUUCAAGGGCCACCUCCUCAGAGGGGCUGUCCCCACACCAGGGCACCCUCCCCCCACUCCUCCCCAUUUUGCUCUCUGCGUGGUGCCUUACUUGUCACUGUCUGAAGUUAUCCUGCUUUUGUCAGGGUCCCAGGGGCAGGGAAUAUUCUCUCUUGUUCCUGGAGAUCGUUGCCUCCCCAGCACUUAGUGGAGUGCUGGCUCCCAGGUCCUGGGUCUGCAUUCUCGUGGGCUUGGGCCCUGACCUCAGCCUCUGACAUUUACAUCCAUGUCUGGAGUGCCAGGCACAUCAUAUUUUACCCUCGAUGGGAACAAGACAGUUGCCCCAUUUUGAUGUAAGAAGAGGCCAAGUCCCCUGGCCCGGGUCACAGCAACAGGUGAAUUGAGAGCCAGGCACCCCUGACUCCUGAGUCCCAGGUUGCAGCCUGGCCUGAGGGCUGGGAAGACUUAAGGAAAUUCCAAAGGAACAGUUACUGUUUUUGUUAGAAGUCAAUAGCCAUGAGACCAGGAUGCUGGAUGCCCAGGGUCUCGCCAUCUGUAGGUUUACACAGAUUCCAGAAACGAGGCGACAGGCAUGAAGUCACCCCACAAAGGCCAGGCCAUCCAAGUAGGACACCCCAUGAGAAGGAAGUGGGUUCUGUGCCCGCCUCAGCCUGUAAAAACAGGACAGCAGGGCAGAGGAAUGAAGAGUCCCCAUCCAAGGGCUCUGCGGGGCUUCCACACCAUCCCUGAGCCAUCCCCCUUGGGCCUCUGGUGAGCAUGUGUGCGUGGGACACUAGGACCCUAUUUUUUUAAGCCACUGUGGUCAAGUCUCUCCUACAGCAGCUGUACGUGCUCGGUAACUAAAAGAUGCUUGCAUGUCUGACUCCUUUUGCAUUUCCUUGAGAGGCAGCAGUUACCCCAGGAAGGAUUAGGAUGUUAUGGUUGGAAUGCUGAAAGCUUUUGAUUUCCAAAACAGGCUAUUUGAGUCUGUGUCAUCCCAAUAGCCCCGCAGUCCUGCAUUCUGACCACCUGCCCUUUCCAUAGCAGGAGUCAAGACCUCUGAAACAGGUUGUGGAGUUUCACAGAACCCACAAGUAGAGGAAUCCCUGCCUGCACCUGCAAUGGGAAUCCUUCCGAAGGGAAGCCUGAGAGAAGCGAGGUGAGGCUGGGGUGGGUAUGGCUGGGUGGGGUGAGGCUGGUGUCCUCAGGGUUGACCCUCAUGGGGUAGAUGCAAUCUGAGAACUCAGGGAGUCUGAGGACUGUGCGACCUCCAAGCAACUACCCUGAACUACUCAUUCAUGAUUUUUAGAUAGAGCCGCACUCUCCCCUGCAGGGAGGAGACAAAAAUUUCCGAGAUGGCAGAGAAAAAUAGUCACCCUCAUGUGGGAGUGCCCUGGGGCUGCCAAAGAAAAUUACCACCACAAACUUGGUGACUUAAAACAACAGAAAGUUAUUUUCUCCUAAUCCUGGGGGCCAGAGCCUGAAAUCAAGCUGUCAGCAGGCCUCUGUUCUCCCCAGAGGCUCCAGGGGCAGCUACUUCCUGCCUCUUCCAGCUCCUGGUGGCUCCAGGCACUCCUGGGCUUGUGUAGCUUCACUCCAAUCUCUGUCUCUGUGUCUUCUUCUGUCUCUUAUAAGGGCACUGUCAUAGGACUCAGGAACCUCUCCAAACAGGAUGAUCUCAUGUCGAAAUGCCUAACUGAUAAUAUCUACAAAGACCCCUUUUGCAAAGAAGACCUCACUCACAGGCUCAGGGGUUAGGAUGCGACCAUCUCUUCUUAGUGAAGAGUCGUGAGGGCUACCAUUCAGCCCACUACACCCAGCAGUAGCCGUUCCAUGCCCUGCAGCUGCACUGAGAUGACAGAAGUUGUUGUAGGAAAUUCUUCCAUUUUCUUUUCCUGGAAAGCAAAACUAGUGCAGGAAGAAGGGAGGGGAGAGUAGGAGAUGUGUCUGGAGUAUGGGCUUGGCUGCUGCAGUGCAGAUCCUGAAUAGGACAGGUCUGAAUGAGAAGGAAAUUAAGUCUUGCUUGUUCACAGCUCUCCAGGUGUGCAGUGUGCAGGGCUGAGUGGCAGUCCCUGUGUCAGGGAUCCAGAAUCUCUUGCUGGUUCCUCUGCCAACCAUAGGCUGCUGUACCCAUCUGCAUGGCUCACCUCCAAGUCCUCUUUCUGGCCAAGGGGAGGGAUGUCCAUGACUAAUGGUGAGGUUGUUGCACAUUGGCAUGGCUGAGAGCCUCCUUCUGGUGCCAUGUAUUCUAACUGCCUGUAUUCUAUUGGUUGUUCAAUGUUUGGGCUGCCACCCCUGGUAUAUCCCUCCCCUUGAAGGCAUGACCCAGAAGUUAUACCUAUCACAUCCUCUUCCACUCACACCCUAUUGGCCAGUAUUUGGUCAUAUGACUACAGCUAGCUGCAAGGGAGUCUGGGAAAUGUAUUCUUUAUUGGAGAUGGCCAUCUGCCUGGCAGAAAAUUCUAAUAAUGGAUACUGGGGAAAUGGAUAACUGGGUGAUAGCUAACAUUCUCUGCAAAGGAGGGAUCUGACUUUCUGGGACCAGGCUCAGCAUCUCCUGGCUCUUCCAAUGACUGGGAGACUGCUGGAGAAAGGCUGAUGGGUCUUUGCCUGGAAAAGCCCUAGAUCUUAUGGUGGCCUGGAUCCUUGAGGAUAGCAGUUAUGGGACGUUGCUGGCUUCACUUUGCUUGUUUUUACACCAGCUGAUGCCCACUGCCCCAGCAUGACAAGGGUUCAGCUUUCUGUCCUUUGAGAUGAUAGCCCACUCUCUGCCCAAAUAGGUGAAGAAAACUGCAUUGAUUGUACACUUUGGUGCUAGGUACUGUAGCAAGCAUUUCUCCAUGCAUUACUGCUAUUUGAGAAGCGGCAGGAGCUCUCUGGCAAACUGCCGUCUGCAAAAUAGGAUGUAAACAAUCCCCCAGAGUAGCCUGCUCAAGGCCUUUGGGGACCUGGGGGUAGCCCCCAGCAUGAGUUGGCUGUGGGGUGCUAUGUUGCCCAGCAGGCUGUGUGAGGUUACUAGCCAUAGGAAGGUAAAACCACCUCCUUUCCUUGGCGAUAUCCUACUUGCAUUGUGUGUUUCAAAGCCUCCUGCCAGACCCCAAACGAAGCACUCACGCCAUCCUGUUCUCGUUGUGGCUCAAUGAUAAUAGAGAGUGGACCUGCUCUAGUCCACUCAUUCAUUCACUUUUUCAGCAGUCAUUAAUUUAUUCAGCAAAUAAGAGUAUAUUCUAAAGGCCAGACCAUGUGUUAAAUGCGCCAGGCAGCAUCUCUGCAGCUAAGCAGUGUGUGAUAUUAUGGAUAGACAGGCACAGACAUGAUUGUAUCAUGCUAAACUAUUAUGCUAAAAGUAAUGUGAAUUGGCCAAUAAGGAUAUGGAAAUAGGUCCAGCCUCACUAGAACUGUUCAGGAAAUGUGAAUACUAAUCCCCCAGAUACCUACUUCCGGGUAUAUAUCUAGAGGAACUGAAAAUGGGGCUGAGCUUGGUGGCUUGCACCUGUAGUCUACCUACUCAGGAGGUGGAGGAGGGAGGAUCUUUUGAGGCCAGGAGUUCAUUGCUGUAGUGAACUUUGAUCACACGACUUCAUUCCAGCCUGGGCGAUAGAGCUAACCCAUCGCUUAAAAAAACAAGAA
Non-coding RNA from Macaca mulatta (Rhesus monkey), 7663 nucleotides. NCBI's taxonomy places the organism in Eukaryota, Metazoa, Chordata, Mammalia, Primates, Cercopithecidae. The record is from RefSeq and is a predicted model, not a curated record.